This 196-nucleotide ribosomal RNA is filed under the name uncultured bacterium. RNAcentral describes it as "partial 16S ribosomal RNA". It matches the Rfam family "Bacterial small subunit ribosomal RNA", at positions 328 to 539 of the family's 1533-position model. The record is from RNAcentral.
ACGCUCGACACCUACGGGAGGCAGCAGUGGGAAUAUUGCACAAUGGGGGAAACCCUGAUGCAGCGACGCCGCGUGAGUGAAGAAGUAUUUCGGUAUGUAAAGCUCUAUCAGCAGGGAANAAAAUGACGGUACCUGACUAAGAAGCCCCGGCUAACUACGUGCCACAGCCGCGGUAAUCUGAGCGGGCUGGCAAGGC